Molecule: ribosomal RNA, 519 nt
Filed under: uncultured eukaryote
Lineage: Eukaryota
Description: SSU rRNA
Rfam family: Eukaryotic small subunit ribosomal RNA
Source: RNAcentral
AGGGCACCACCAGGAGUGGAGCCUGCGGCUUAAUUUGACUCAACACGGGGAAACUCACCCGGCCCGGACACCGUAAGGAUUGACAGAUUGAUAGCUUUUUCAUGAUUCGGUGGAUGGUGGUGCAUGGCCGUUCUUAGUUCGUGGAGCGAUUUGUCUGGUUUAUUCCGAUAACGAGCGAGACUCUAGCCUACUAAAUAGUUCGCACAUUGUCUCUGUGUGUGUGACUUCUUAGAGGGAUUUUCGGUGUUCAGCCGCACGAAAUUGGGCAAUAACAGGUCUGUGAUGCCCUUAGAUGUCCGGGGCUGCACGCGCGCUACACUGGCAAAAUCAGCGUGCUUGUCCUUCCCCGAAUGGGGUUGGUAAACCCGUGAAAAUUUGCCGUGAUUGGGAUCGGACAUUGCAAUUAUUGUCCGUGAACGAGGAAUUCCUUGUAGGGGCGAGUCAUCAACUCGCUCUGAAUACGUCCCUGCCCUUUGUACACACCGCCCGUCGCUGCCCGGGACUGAGCCAUUUCGAGAA